RNAcentral lists this ribosomal RNA (494 nucleotides) under uncultured bacterium. Its description in RNAcentral is "partial 16S ribosomal RNA". It matches the Rfam family "Bacterial small subunit ribosomal RNA", at positions 28 to 507 of the family's 1533-position model. The record is from RNAcentral.
GACGAACGCUGGCGGCGUGCUUAACACAUGCCAGUCGAACGGUGAAGCGCCUUCCUUUUUGGUGGGUGUGGAUGAGUGGCGAACGGGUGAGUAACACGUGAGUAACCUGCCCCCUUCUUCUGGAUAACCGCAUGAAAGUGUGGCUAAUACGGGAUAUUCUGGGUCUGGCGCAUGAUGGGUCUGUGAAAGAUAUUGUUUCGGUGGGGGAUGGGCUGGCGGCCUAUAAGCUGGUUGGGGGGGUGAUGGCCUACCAAGGCGGUGACGGGUAGCCGGCUUGCGGGGGUGGCCGGUCAGACUGGGAGUGCGGCACGGCCGGGACUCCUACGGGGGGCAGCAGUGGGGAAUAUUGCACAGUGGGCGCAAGCCUGAUGCAGCGACGCCGCGUGAGGAAUGGAGGCCUUCGGGUUGUGAACCUCUUUCGCCAGUGAAGCAGGCCUGCCUCGUUUGUGGGUGGGUUGACGGUAGCUGGAUAAGAAGCGCCGGCUAACUACGUG